RNAcentral lists this ribosomal RNA (543 nucleotides) under uncultured Caryophanaceae bacterium. Its description in RNAcentral is "bacterial SSU rRNA". It matches the Rfam family "Bacterial small subunit ribosomal RNA", at positions 89 to 619 of the family's 1533-position model. Lineage: Bacteria; Bacillati; Bacillota; Bacilli; Caryophanales; Caryophanaceae. The record is from RNAcentral.
UGUUUAGCGGCGGACGGGUGAGUAACACGUGGGCAACCUGCCCUGCAGAUCGGGAUAACUCCGGGAAACCGGUGCUAAUACCGAAUAGUUUGUCGCCUCUCCUGAGGCGGCACGGAAAGACGGUUUCGGCUGUCACUGCAGGAUGGGCCCGCGGCGCAUUAGCUAGUUGGUGGGGUAAUGGCCCACCAAGGCGACGAUGCGUAGCCGACCUGAGAGGGUGAUCGGCCACACUGGGACUGAGACACGGCCCAGACUCCUACGGGAGGCAGCAGUAGGGAAUCUUCCGCAAUGGACGCAAGUCUGACGGAGCAACGCCGCGUGAGUGACGAAGGUUUUCGGAUCGUAAAACUCUGUUGUGAGGGAAGAACACGUACCAGUUAACUACUGGUACCUUGACGGUACCUCACCAGAAAGCCACGGCUAACUACGUGCCAGCAGCCGCGGUAAUACGUAGGUGGCAAGCGUUGUCCGGAAUUAUUGGGCGUAAAGCGCGCGCAGGCGGUUCUUUAAGUCUGAUGUGAAAGCCCACGGCUCAACCGUGGA